This 73-nucleotide transfer RNA is filed under the name Desulfurellales bacterium. RNAcentral's name for it is "tRNA-Glu". It matches the Rfam family "tRNA". Rfam says of the family: Transfer RNA (tRNA) molecules are approximately 80 nucleotides in length. Lineage: Bacteria; Pseudomonadati; Campylobacterota; Desulfurellia; Desulfurellales. The record is from RNAcentral.
GCCCCGUUCGUCUAGCGGCCCAGGACUCCGGGUUCUCAGCCCGGCAACAGCGGUUCAAAUCCGCUACGGGGUA